UGUGUCUCCCUGGUUAUAUGUAAUGUUUAUGACCCCACUGUGCCUUGUCUGUCUGUACAUUCCAAAAUUGGCCUCUGUUUACUUCAUAGAUAAAAUUUUUGAAACUGAUACACAAUGCGCAUUACUCCCAAACGCAGAUCACAUUUGAAAUUUGGGUGGUGUCGCUUUCACUGUUCUUGAGUUAUGUCCCUUUAUACAUGGAACCAGGUGCUCCGCAGGGCGCAGCUUUAUACGACCGCAGAGGUCGAACCCUGAACAGUUGGGGCAAGUAUGGACAAAACAUUCAAGCGUGAUACAGCUCUGAAUUUGGAUUGUGAUCAAAUUUUUGACAUUACAUGUUUUUUUUUACACAAAACAAAUGUCAUGAUUUUACAAAUCAAUUAAAGAUUUCUUCUUAUUUAAAUCUAAAAUUAAAUAGUUGACACAGCAUAGGUUUCUGACACAGAAUGAAUGUGGUCUAAUGAACUUAAAAGUUUUUUUUUGCCUUUGAGCAAUUGACUAUGCUGUUGAAUAUUAAUCCUCUCAAAAAAAUGUUUGAAGAAAUUUUCUUUUUAUUUAUGAAAUCUGAAAUGAGAAAAAUUUAACCCCCCCCCCCCUUUUUUUCACAUCCCCGUUUCCCUUUUUCCAAAACUGAUAUCAAUUCAAAUUUCUAAUGGAGUUUGCAACAAUAACUACUCUUUUAAAUACAUCAUAAAAUAUUAAAAUGUAAAAUAAAGUGCUUGUUAUCACUGAAUGGUAAAGAUUGGUUGGUAGUAAAAGUGAAUAUACAUUGUUUAUUGUAUAAAACAAUAAAAAAAAACUUC
This 803-nucleotide long non-coding RNA is filed under the name Mytilus galloprovincialis (Mediterranean mussel). Lineage: Eukaryota; Metazoa; Mollusca; Bivalvia; Mytilida; Mytilidae. The record is from RNAcentral.